UACGAGGGGGGCGAGCGUUGUUCGGAAUUAUUGGGCGUAAAGGGGUGCGUAGGCGGUCGUUCAAGUCGCGUGUGAAAGCCCCCGGCUCAACUGGGGAGGGUCGUGCGAUACGGUCGAACUGGAGGCCAGUAGGGGGAUGCGGGAAUUCCGGGUGUAGUGGUGGAAAUGCGUAGAGAUCCGGAGGAACACCAGUGGCGAAGGCGACACGCUGGGCCGUACCUGGACACUGAUGCGCGACAAGCAUGGGGAGCAAACAGGG
This 259-nucleotide ribosomal RNA is filed under the name uncultured bacterium. RNAcentral describes it as "partial 16S ribosomal RNA". It matches the Rfam family "Bacterial small subunit ribosomal RNA", at positions 524 to 777 of the family's 1533-position model. The record is from RNAcentral.